This 144-nucleotide small RNA is filed under the name Flavobacterium dankookense. Its description in RNAcentral is "Flavobacterium sp. ARSA-19 Flavo-1 RNA". It matches the Rfam family "Flavo-1 RNA". The record is from Rfam by way of RNAcentral. Lineage: Bacteria; Pseudomonadati; Bacteroidota; Flavobacteriia; Flavobacteriales; Flavobacteriaceae.
UGUUAGCCCAGAUAGUAGUGGAAAGCUUUGUGAAGGAAAACACUAUUUUUUCUUGGUUAAAAACUGCGACCAACGGAAGCACGUUUUUGGCCUUAGAAAAAAAGUGUUUUGCAAACAAACUUGCAAGGAAUAGCUGGAAUUGCU